Anopheles sinensis is the source of this 189-nucleotide non-coding RNA. It matches the Rfam family "drz-agam-2-2 ribozyme". The record is from Rfam. NCBI's taxonomy places the organism in Eukaryota, Metazoa, Arthropoda, Insecta, Diptera, Culicidae.
GGUAAUAUUGGUUCUGUAACGGGGUGGAUCCGACGCCUCUCGAAGGCUACUAUAGGCUCUCCUACCCAACUCCUACUCAAUACGUCCGCGAAGUACAGAACGGUAACUUGUCGCCUAAAUAUCCAAGCUUGGGUACACGGGGAAACCCACCCCCUUGGGCUACUCGCUAGCAGUUCAUCCUCGAGCGUC